GAAGCGGCCUCUUAGACUGCAGCGCUGGAGGGCCUGGCAGUCGGAGGCGGAGACCACUGCUGUGCCUCCAUAGCGUGACUGGGCAGCACACAGCUGUUAGGAGGUGUGGAAAGGCCUCCCAGCUGUGGAAACAGAUGAAAAGAAGCCCUCGCACACAAACAAACAGAAAGCGUGAGGCCCGGGCGGAGCCAUGCGCAGUGCGGCGGGCUUGGAAAGACAAGGGGUCAAUGGACGGGAAAUGCUUUCAUCGCGCCUGACUCUUUGACUCCAGUCCGCCAUUGUGUUUACGGGCCAAGUUCACGCCUCCUGAUGGGGUUUCCAGAUCUCCAUUGAGCGUUGCUCCAAUUUGAGAGACAUCUUUAUUUGCUUUUUUU
Gasterosteus aculeatus aculeatus (three-spined stickleback) is the source of this 374-nucleotide long non-coding RNA. Lineage: Eukaryota; Metazoa; Chordata; Actinopteri; Perciformes; Gasterosteidae. The record is from Ensembl.